GACGAACGCUGGCGGCGCGCUUAACACAUGCAAGUCGAACGGAAAGGCCCUGCUUUUGUGGGGUGCUCGAGUGGCGAACGGGUGAGUAACACGUGAGUAACCUGCCCUUGACUUUGGGAUAACUUCAGGAAACUGGGGCUAAUACCGGAUAGGAGCUCCUGCUGCAUGGUGGGGGUUGGAAAGUUUCGGCGGUUGGGGAUGGACUCGCGGCUUAUCAGCUUGUUGGUGGGGUAGUGGCUUACCAAGGCUUUGACGGGUAGCCGGCCUGAGAGGGUGACCGGCCACAUUGGGACUGAGAUACGGCCCAGACUCCUACGGGAGGCAGCAGUGGGGAAUAUUGCACAAUGGGCGGAAGCCUGAUGCAGCAACGCCGCGUGCGGGAUGACGGCCUUCGGGUUGUAAACCGCUUUCGCCUGUGACGAAGCGUGAGUGACGGUAAUGGGUAAAGAAGCACCGGCUAACUACGUGCCAGCAGCCGCGGUGAUACGUAGGGUGCGAGCGUUGUCCGGAUUUAUUGGGCGUAAAGGGCUCGUAGGUGGUUGAUCGCGUCGGAAGUGUAAUCUUGGGGCUUAACCCUGAGCGUGCUUUCGAUACGGGUUGACUUGAGGAAGGUAGGGGAGAAUGGAAUUCCUGGUGGAGCGGUGGAAUGCGCAGAUAUCAGGAGGAACACCAGUGGCGAAGGCGGUUCUCUGGGCCUUUCCUGACGCUGAGGAGCGAAAGCGUGGGGAGCGAACAGGCUUAGAUACCCUGGUAGUCCACGCUGUAAACGGUGGGUACUAGGUGUGGGGUCCAUUCCACGGGUUCCGUGCCGUAGCUAACGCUUUAAGUACCCCGCCUGGGGAGUACGGCCGCAAGGCUAAAACUCAAAGGAAUUGACGGGGCCCCGCACAAGCGGCGGAGCAUGCGGAUUAAUUCGAUGCAACGCGUAGAACCUUACCUGGGUUUGACAUGGAUCGGGAGUGCUCAGAGAUGGGUGUGCCUCUUUUGGGGUCGGUUCACAGGUGGUGCAUGGCUGUCGUCAGCUCGUGUCGUGAGAUGUUGGGUUAAGUCCCGCAACGAGCGCAACCCUUGUUCACUGUUGCCAGCACGUUAUGGUGGGGACUCAGUGGAGACCGCCGGGGUCAACUCGGAGGAAGGUGGGGACGACGUCAAGUCAUCAUGCCCCUUAUGUCCAGGGCUUCACGCAUGCUACAAUGGCUGGUACAGAGAGUGGCGAGCCUGUGAGGGUGAGCGAAUCUCGGAAAGCCGGUCUCAGUUCGGAUUGGGGUCUGCAACUCGACCUCAUGAAGUCGGAGUCGCUAGUAAUCGCAGAUCAGCAACGCUGCGGUGAAUACGUUCCCGGGGCU
RNAcentral lists this ribosomal RNA (1346 nucleotides) under uncultured bacterium. RNAcentral describes it as "partial 16S ribosomal RNA". It matches the Rfam family "Bacterial small subunit ribosomal RNA", at positions 28 to 1381 of the family's 1533-position model. The record is from RNAcentral.